Long non-coding RNA from Felis catus (domestic cat), 1540 nucleotides. RefSeq lists it as uncharacterized. NCBI's taxonomy places the organism in Eukaryota, Metazoa, Chordata, Mammalia, Carnivora, Felidae. The transcript has 2 exons. The record is from RefSeq and is a predicted model, not a curated record.
GCCCCGACCCGCGGGCGCCCGGCCUCUCCCGCCCGCCCCGGGGCUCCGCGCUCCCCCGGCGCCGCCUCGCGCACUUCCCGGGAGCGGCUUCCCGGGGCCCACUGGGCUCAGGGGGUUGUUUGGUUUUUUGUUUUUUUUUUUUUCCUCUCUGUGUUUGGCGCUUUUCCCCGCCUUCCUCACCCGGAUUCAACCCUCGAGGCUGGAUCCCGGGGGGCGUCGGGUGGGCCGGCGGCGGGUGCGCGCGGAGUGCGGGGUCGCUGCCACUGCGCGCGCCGCGCCUCGGGGGGGAACUAGAAUGCGUUCGGGAGCUGCCUGCCGGGCCCCGGGCACCCCCAGCGCCUGGCACUCCGCGGGCGCUCAAUAAAUAUUUGUUGAAUGAAUGAGCAGUUGACUACCGCGUUCACCCCCUGGAGCUUUAACUGACACCGAGAGGACCGGAAGCCGGGCUCCAGGGCGGACGCGACCUCCCGGGGCCACCGUUGAUAGCUUUCAAAGCGGGCGUGUUUGUCUCCGGGACUUAAUCACCUUUAGGACUUCCUCAGUGAUUCCUCCACGUGGACCCCUAGGAGCUGAAGCAUUUGCAUUAUAGAAUGGGGACUUCGCAAAGCUAUUUCAGUUGUCUCUGUUCAAGGAAAUUGCUUGACCAAAUGUUCUCUAACUACUGGUGUACUUUGAAUUUAAUACACAUCAGGGUGUUCCGUGCGCGUCCAGUGGAACCGGAUUUCUACCAAAAUGAUUUCAGCUGCCUUUUCUGGAAUGUUUUCAGCUGCCACCCCCUACCACUCGCACUGAAAGCUUUUUGCAGAACUUGAGGUUUGAAUCUGGGCGCUGGAUAGUUCAAGUUUGACAAUAAUUGCGUUAAGAGGGUUGGAGGCAAACGGAAAAUUUUAAUUACAGCCUUCAGUACGUUUAUUCUUUUUCCUCUGAAGACUGAGGUCCACCCACUUUGUUGUAUCCAAUGGUUAAAUCCCAAUUUGAAAGUCCAUUUAAAUCAUAAAAGCAGAGCUAUUCAACGUCUUUUAUUAAAAUUAGGCUUAAAAUUAGAGAGUCAACUAGAUGGGUAGGUGGAAUAAGAGCAUGAUUCCCAGAAAUAUCAUUUUCUUUUUCCUCUGAUGUCUUUUCAGAAGAAACAUUAGGCAUAUUCCAGAAGCACUGAUACUCAGACUGCGAAACCCACACAAAUAUAAACACAUUUAUGCACGCACAAGCACUAGCAUACUCUGCUUGAAAGGUGCCUUGGAGAAAGAAAUGAGGAUAAAUGAAUUUGAAUGUGGAGGCUAGUUUGACAUGAACAUUGUGACCAUCCCUCACGACGCCUGAAUAGAUGGAUGUGAAGACAAUUGGCGAGGGCUUGCUUCCCCCAUUGAUUACAAGGUUUAUUUCGCCAAAUCUGGCUGACUUGAUUGCUUCUCUGAAAAAAGCUAUGGGUUCUUUUAAAGAGCAUCUCUCUCUCUCUCUCUCUUUCUUUCUUUCUUUCUUUCUUUUUUUUUUUUUUUUUCUGGAUGAGCCUACAUAUGAGUGAGUGUAGUUGCUAGAAUUA